CGAAAGUUAGAGGUUCGAAGGCGAUCAGAUACCGCCCUAGUUCUAACCAUAAACGAUGCCAGCCAGCGAUCCGGCUGUGUUCCUCAAAUGACACGCCGGGCAGCUUCCGGGAAACCAAAGCUUUUGGGUUCCGGGGGAAGUAUGGUUGCAAAGCUGAAACUUAAAGGAAUUGACGGAGGCGCACAACCAGGCAUGGAUAUUGCGGUUCAAUUUGACUCAACGCAGCAAAUCCUACCAGGCCAGGACACAGGAAGGAUUGACAGAUUGAGAGCUCUUUCUUGAUUCUGUGGGUGGUGGUGCAUGGCCGUUCUUGGUUCGUGGUGUGAAUUGUCUUGUUUAUUCUGAUAACGGACGAGAUUCUGGCCUACUAAAUAGGCGCUUCGAUCCUUCGAGUCGAGCGUUUCUUCUUAGAGGGACAGGCGGUGUUCAACCGCACGAGGAAGAGCAAUAACAGGUCUGUAAUGCCCUUAGAUGUCCUGGGCCACACGCGUUCUACAUUGAAGGAAUCAACGUGUGCUUUCCCUGUCCGAAGGGACUGGGUAACCCGUUGAACCUCCUUCGUGCUGGGGAUAGGAAAUUGUAAUUAUCUUCCUUGAACGAGGAAUUCCUAGUAAGCGCGAGUCAUCAUCUCGUGUUGAUUACGUCCCUGCGCCUUGUCCACACCGCCCGUCGCUAUUACCGAUUGAAUGAUUUAGUGAGGUCUUCGGACUGGCGCUCGGAUUGGCCUUCGGGUCGAGCCGGCGUGCCGGAAAGAUGACCGAACUUGACCAUUUAGAGGAAAUAAAAGUCGUAACAAGG
Molecule: ribosomal RNA, 798 nt
Filed under: Bifurcia curvata
Lineage: Eukaryota; Metazoa; Arthropoda; Arachnida; Araneae; Linyphiidae
Description: SSU rRNA
Rfam family: Eukaryotic small subunit ribosomal RNA
Source: RNAcentral